RNAcentral lists this ribosomal RNA (491 nucleotides) under uncultured bacterium. RNAcentral describes it as "bacterial SSU rRNA". It matches the Rfam family "Bacterial small subunit ribosomal RNA", at positions 33 to 518 of the family's 1533-position model. The record is from RNAcentral.
ACGCUGGCGGCGUGCUUAACACAUGCAAGUCGAACGGGGAUUAGUUGAUUGAGAGCUUCGGCAGGAUAUCGAUUAAUUCGAGUGGCGGACGGGUGAGUAACGCGUGAGCAACCUGUCCCAGACAGGGGGAUAACACUUGGAAACAGGUGCUAAUACCGCAUAAGACCACGGGAUCACAUGGUUCUGGGGUAAAAGGAGCAAUCCGGUUUGGGGUGGGCUCGCGUCCGAUUAGCCAGUUGGCGGGGUAACGGCCCACCAAAGCGACGAUCGGUAGCCGACCUGAGAGGGUGAACGGCCACAUUGGAACUGAGAGACGGUCCAAACUCCUACGGGAGGCAGCAGUGGGGAAUAUUGGGCAAUGGGCGAAAGCCUGACCCAGCAACGCCGCGUGAGUGAAGAAGGCCUUCGGGUUGUAAAGCUCUGUUAUAGUUGACGAAGGAAGUGACGGUAGGCUAUAAGGAAGCCCCGGCUAACUACGUGCCAGCCGCCGC